UUUCUUCUCUUAAACCGGAAAUACUUACUAGCCCCAGAACCCCAAACACUCUGUGACCCUCAGGGAGCAUGGGCACCAAACACCCAAGGGUGCCAGGUCCCCCUCAGCCCUGGAGGCUGCAGAGCUGUCUCAGGGAAUUGGUGGGGACAGAGCCCUGGAGAACAUGGGAGAUGGAGGGGACACUGUCCCCCUGGAGGCAGCAUCUGNAGAGCUGUCUCAGGGAAUUGGUGGGGACAGAGCCCUGGAGAACAUGGGAGAUGGAGGGGACACUGUCCCCCUGGAGGCAGCAUCUGUGCCUGUAACUUCCUCACAACCACAUGUGCUUUUCAGGGAAAACUGAACACCUUGUGCGCCUUGGUUCAGCGCUGCAGCCAGAUGCCACUGAUGUGGUAUCAGCCCAGGGACAUGGGGAGGUGCAUCAACUUCACCCUAAUGAAUCCCUACUGCGCCCAAAUGCUCUGCGGCUCUAACAUCUGCCUUCCACCCAGCCAGGAGUACUUCCCUCUCACCAGCUGCUGCUCACGCUGUCAACACUCCCCACCCAUAUGCUCUCAGCCCUCCGGGGUGCUGCCUUUGAUCUCUACCCCUUCCCAGGAGCUCUUCAGGACUACUAUGUCACCCACACCCCCAUAGCCCAACAUCUAAAGCACCAAACCCCCAAGAUUGUUAAGAGCCCCCCCUUUUCUUAUUGAUUUGAACAUACAUACUGUGUUCUGUUUAACAGUUAGAAGGAGUUGAAAUUUGUUGCUGAUCAGUUUGUUACCUGGUGAGUACUUCCCCACUGUGUGAGAUGCAGGCUACACUGCUCCUGCCAGGACAAAGCAUCCUGGUCCACGGUGGAUAGACAUGAUGAGUCCCAUUCCCCAAAGACAGGUCUUCCUCUGUCAUUAAGUGUUGGGGUGCAUGGGGUUUUAGCCAAAACAUGCUCUUUCAAAAAAGUCCAAAUAUCUUUGAUGUAUCAAUACAAUCUGAUAUCCAUUAUUCACUUGCUGUUACUUAUUCUCUUGGGCAAGUUGCUUAAUGUCUUUCUGCUUCAGUUUCCUCCCUGAAAAGAUCUGGAUAAUGGUGUCUCCUCUGAGGUGAUAGGAACUGCUGCAGUGUGCUGAGCACAGGGCUGGGUCAUUUGUAGAGACUCAGGGGCCCCGUAUUUAAUGCCUUCCCUUCCCUGCAGAGGGAGAGGAGAGGAUGAUGUGCUCAGAGACAUCAAGUAGUUUGCAGUGAGGACAGAUGUUUUAGAAAUCAUGACUGGGACUUUCAGCUCUGGAUACCAAAACAUGGGGUUGGCACGCCUGAGAAUUCUCUGUAAACUGCCGACUGCGCGUGGGUUCACAUCCAAGGCCUCCACCCAUGUAAUCCCCAAGACACCAUCAAAAAAAAUCCUGACACCUACUCCCUCCUUCAGAAAUGUUAGUUCCCUUCCUGUACCUUAAUAUGUCUCAUAGAGGUAAUUCCUCGUACCCAAUUUCGCAUGCUUUCAAAUCAGCUCAGACCUGUCAAGGGAGGAAGAGACCACAUACUCCAGUGUGCACACAUCCGUGCAACAAAUCAGGGGCCAUGAAGAAUCAAGUAAACAUGAGAUGAUGAAAAGAAGUGAGUAAAGCUCCAAUAACUGACCCUAAAGAAAUAGAGUUAU
This 1633-nucleotide long non-coding RNA is filed under the name Sus scrofa (pig). RNAcentral describes it as "lncRNA (ENSSSCG00055022095.1)". Lineage: Eukaryota; Metazoa; Chordata; Mammalia; Artiodactyla; Suidae. The record is from RNAcentral.